AGAGCCGCAGUCAUCACCCAGCUCAAGUCAAAAGGGCCUGUUGUAGCCCUGGGAGAUGCUCGCAUUGACAGUCCUGGAUUCAGUGCACAGUAUUGUACCUAUAAUGCCAUGGACAAUGAAUCCAGACAGGUAAUCUGCAUGGUCAACAUCGACAAGCGUGAGACCAUGCGGAACUCUGUCAUCAUGGAGAAGGCGGACUUCAUGCAAGCAUUUGAGACACUCUGGAGGAACUCAACAUAGAGGAAUUCUGCAUGGAUGCUCAUUCACAAAUAUCAGCCCUCUUCAGCGGGACAACAAAGGGGGUGCACCGUCCUUCAGAUAUGGAGUAAUGAUAUCUGCAACCACUUCUGGUACUGUUGCAAGACUGCAGAUACAUAUGAAGACUUCUUUGUCAACUGCAGAGUUGGAGUCCUUCCACAAUCACAUUCUCAUGUACGCAAGCAAACGCUUCAGCUCUUCACCACCUGUGUACGCUGCUCGAGUCAUGUUGGCUGCCCUGGACUACAACCACCACGUUGACAGACCAGCCAUGAGAAGGGCUGAUGGCUCUCUUCAGUAUGUUUAAUUUUACAUGGAAAAAUUAAAUAGUGUACACUGUAAGGUAAUCUGAAUGUAUCUCUUUUCUCUUAUGGUAGAUACGGCAAGGUGUACAAUAAAAAGUCCAGGAAGUGGAGCCUUUACACAGUAAAGGUGAAUGAAUGAAUGAAUGAAUGAAUGAAUGAAUGCUUUAUUUCAAACAUGUGAAAAAUAUAUUACACUUGAAGCACUAGUCAUUAAAACCCUUUGUAUGUUUGAAAAGGAGUAGGAAGAAGCAUUAGCUUAAUAAUUCUUACCCCUUCUCCACUUAGUACCUAGUACUAUAGGUUAUCUUACUUCCUGUGUAUCCUGUUUUUUUUUGUUGUUGUUGUUUUUUUUGUUUUUUUUGUUUUUUUAAUACUCUCAACAAAAACAAUCACCAACAAACAACACAAUAACCGCUUGUGUAAAAAUAAAAUAAAUGACAAGUAUGGCAAAAUGUGAGAACCCUAGUGUUUGUCAUACCCAUCUUCUGCCCUGUACCUUGUAAAUACCAUCUGUUUGUACCGCUGUUUGAAUUUGCUCAUGGUUGGACAUUGUCUGAGCUCCUCCGCUAGUCUGUUCCACAGUUUCACUCCACAUAUUGAAACGCAAAAAGUUUUUAAAGUUGAGCGUGCAUACAGAUGUUUUAGAUUCAGUUCCCCCCUCAGAUUAUAUCCCCCUUCUCUCGGAAAAAAACAUGCUUGAAUAUUUACUGGUAAUAUGUUGUUUGUUGCUCUAUACAUGAUUUGUGCUGUUUGGAAGCUUACCAGAUCAGUGAGUUUCAGUAUUUUUGAUUUUGAGAAUAAGGGGUUAGUGUGUUCUCUGUAACCAGUGUUAUGAAUUAUCCUGAUUGCUCUUUUUUGCAGAAUCGACAGUGAUUGUAGUGUAGAUUUAUAAGUAUUGCCCCAGAUCUCUGCACAGUAACUCAAAUACGGAAAUAUCAGUGAAUUGUAAAGAAUGUGGAGUGAUUUGUGGUCCAGAAAGUGUUUUGCCUUACUUAGUACUGAGAUGCUACGUGACAGUUUGCUUCGAACAUGCUUUAUGUGAGGUUUCCAUGUUAUUUUUUCGUCCAUAAUUACACCCAGAAAUCUAUUUUCAUGUACCCUUGCAAUGUCCACCCCGUCUAUCUGUAUUAUUGCUUGAGUGUUCAUUUUACAGUUCCCAAAUAACAUGAAUUUGGUUUUGUUUAAAUUUAAAGAUAAUUUGUUUCUAUCAAACCACCUUUUUAAUUUACACAUUUCUUCAGUGAUACACCCCAGAAGCUCCUGUAAAUUCUUCCCUGAGCAAAACAUGUUCGUGUCAUCAGCAAAUAGUACCAAUUUCAAUAUAUUUGAGACGUUACAUAUAUCAUUUAUAUAUAGAAUAAACAGUUUGGGACCCAGCACUGACCCCUGGGGGACGCCACAGGCAAUGUCCAAGCACGAUGAGCUAUAGUCUCCCAACUUCACAAAUUGACUCCGGCCCUUUAAAUAACUCUCAACCCAUUGCAAAACUAUCCCCCUGAUCCCGUACCGUUCCAGUUUAUUGAUUAAUAUGUCAUGAUUGAUUGUGUCAAAGGCUUUCUUAAGAUCAAUGAAUAUUCCAAUUGCAUAUUGUUUAUUUUCUAUGGCGUUAGUGAUUACUUCUAAUGAUUCCAUUAAUGCCAGUGAUGUUGAACUGUUUGGUCUGAAUCCGUAUUGAUUGUCAGUGAGUAAUUUAUGUUUGACUAUGAAUUUGUCUAAUCGAUUAUUGAAUACUUUUUCUAGAAAUUUUGAAAAUUGUGGUAGUAAUGAGACGGGUCUGUAAUUUGUGAAUUGGUGUCUAUCUCCAGAUUUAUACAGCGGUACAACUUUUGCCAUUUUCAUUUUGCUUGGAAAUUUGCCAG
RNAcentral lists this long non-coding RNA (2422 nucleotides) under Sparus aurata (gilthead seabream). RNAcentral describes it as "lncRNA (ENSSAUG00010006017.1)". The record is from RNAcentral. Lineage: Eukaryota; Metazoa; Chordata; Actinopteri; Spariformes; Sparidae.